CGUACACUCCUACGGGAGGCAGCAGUGGGGAAUAUUGCACAAUGGGCGCAAGCCUGAUGCAGCCAUGCCGCGUGUAUGAAGAAGGCCUUCGGGUUGUAAAGUACUUUCAGCGGGGAGGAAGGCGAUAAGGUUAAUAACCUUGUUGAUUGACGUUACCCGCAGAAGAAGCACCGGCUAACUCCGUGCCAGCAGCCGCGGUAAUACGGAGGGUGCAAGCGUUAAUCGGAAUUACUGGGCGUAAAGCGCACGCAGGCGGUCUGUCAAGUCGGAUGUGAAAUCCCCGGGCUCAACCUGGGAACUGCAUUCGAAACUGGCAGGCUAGAGUCUUGUAGAGGGGGGUAGAAUUCCAGGUGUAGCGGUGAAAUGCGUAGAGAUCUGGAGGAAUACCGGUGGCGAAGGCGGCCCCCUGGACAAAGACUGACGCUCAGGUGCGAAAGCGUGGGGAGCAAACAGGAUUAGAUACCCCUGUAGUCCCAUG
Molecule: ribosomal RNA, 478 nt
Filed under: uncultured organism
Description: partial 16S ribosomal RNA
Rfam family: Bacterial small subunit ribosomal RNA
Source: RNAcentral